Marasmius sp. AFHP31 is the source of this 93-nucleotide non-coding RNA. The record is from the annotation of a GenBank genome assembly. NCBI's taxonomy places the organism in Eukaryota, Fungi, Basidiomycota, Agaricomycetes, Agaricales, Marasmiaceae.
GGCACUAUAGCCAAGUGGUUACGGCGACAGAUUCGAAUCCGGUUUGAUAUCUGUUCCUCUUUGAGGGCGCAGGUUCAAAUCCUGCUGGUGUCG